RNAcentral lists this ribosomal RNA (253 nucleotides) under uncultured bacterium. RNAcentral's name for it is "partial 16S ribosomal RNA". It matches the Rfam family "Bacterial small subunit ribosomal RNA", at positions 524 to 776 of the family's 1533-position model. The record is from RNAcentral.
UACAGAGGGCGCAAGCGUUUUUCGGAUUCACUGGGCAUAAAGAGCACGUAGGCGGCUACGUAAGUCGGAUGUGAAAUCCCGCGGCUCAACCGCGGAAUGGCAUCCGAUACUGCGUGGCUCGAGGUCGGGAGGGGUGAGCGGAACUCCAGGUGGAACGGUGAAAUGUGUAGAUAUCUGGAGGAACACCGGUGGCGAAGGCGGCUCACUGGCCCGAAUCUGACGCUGAGGUGCGAAAGCUAGGGGAGCGAACGGG